This 508-nucleotide ribosomal RNA is filed under the name uncultured bacterium. RNAcentral describes it as "partial 16S ribosomal RNA". It matches the Rfam family "Bacterial small subunit ribosomal RNA", at positions 30 to 523 of the family's 1533-position model. The record is from RNAcentral.
AUUGAACGCUGGCGGCAUGCCUUACACAUGCAAGUCGAACGGCAGCGGGGGAGAAGCUUGCUUUUCCUGCCGGCGAGUGGCGAACGGGUGAGUAAUACUUCGGAACGUGCCCUGUAGGGGGGGAUAACUAGUCGAAAGAUUAGCUAAUACCGCAUACGACCUGAGGGUGAAAGUGGGGGACCGCAAGGCCUCAUGCUAUAGGAGCGGCCGAUGUCUGAUUAGCUAGUUGGUUGGGUAAAGGCCUACCAAGGCGACGAUCAGUAGCUGGUCUGAGAGGACGAUCAGCCACACUGGGACUGAGACACGGCCCAGACUCCUACGGGAGGCAGCAGUGGGGAAUUUUGGACAAUGGGCGAAAGCCUGAUCCAGCAAUGCCGCGUGUGUGAAGAAGGCCUUCGGGUUGUAAAGCACUUUUGUCCGGAAAGAAAUGGCUCUGGUUAAUACCUGGGGUCGAUGACGGUACCGGAAGAAUAAGGACCGGCUAACUACGUGCCAGCCGCCGCCGUAA